AGAUUGACGCUGGCGGAAUGCUUUACACAUGCAAGUCGAACGGCAGCACGGGGGGCAACCCUGGUGGCGAGUGGCGAACGGGUGAGUAAUACAUCGGAACGUGCCCAGUCGUGGGGGAUAACUACGCGAAAGCGUAGCUAAUACCGCAUACGAUCUACGGAUGAAAGCGGGGGAUCGCAAGACCUCGCGCGAUUGGAGCGGCCGAUGGCAGAUUAGGUAGUUGGUGGGGUAAAGGCUCACCAAGCCGUCGAUCUGUAGCUGGUCUGAGAGGACGACCAGCCACACUGGACUGAGACACGGCCCAGACU
RNAcentral lists this ribosomal RNA (308 nucleotides) under uncultured soil bacterium. RNAcentral's name for it is "bacterial SSU rRNA". It matches the Rfam family "Bacterial small subunit ribosomal RNA", at positions 28 to 337 of the family's 1533-position model. The record is from RNAcentral.